Long non-coding RNA from Tribolium madens (black flour beetle), 349 nucleotides. RefSeq lists it as uncharacterized. The transcript is spliced from 3 exons. Lineage: Eukaryota; Metazoa; Arthropoda; Insecta; Coleoptera; Tenebrionidae. The record is from RefSeq and is a predicted model, not a curated record.
UAAAAUUUACUAACUGCAAACAGCUUUAUAGAUUUAUAAAAAUUUAAUUUCGAUUGUUGAAAGGUUUAUCCGAAUCUGCAAAAAAUGGUGAUCGGGUUGAUUUGCCAGCGGCUUGUGUUUCACCGUCAGCAGUAACAUUAAAGCAAACAUUUACUACCCCACGGAAGGAAUAUAUAACCACCAGAAACCAGAACCAGCCAGAAAUUAGGAAGAGAUUAACACCUUCUGGAUCAAGCGUCUCGAAUGUGGAACAACCAAAAAUAACAAGAAGACAAUUAUUCUCUUCUUCAUCGCAAAUACAUACAUCUCCCCGUCCUACUGCUUUUGUGGACAGUUCAUUGGGUGUAAG